Molecule: ribosomal RNA, 472 nt
Filed under: uncultured bacterium
Lineage: Bacteria
Description: bacterial SSU rRNA
Rfam family: Bacterial small subunit ribosomal RNA
Source: RNAcentral
GAUUAUGGCUCAGAACGAACGCUGGCGGCAGGUCUUAGGCAUGCAAGUCGAACGGAUGACAGAGAGCUUGCUCUCUGAAGUCAGUGGCGCACGAGUGAGUAACGCGUGGGAAACUGCCCUUCACUGGGGAAUAACGUUUGGAAACGAACGCUAAUACCGCAUACGCCCGCAAGGGGAAAGAUUUAUCGGUGAUGGAUGUGCCCGCGUUGGAUUAGCUAGUUGGUGGGGUAAUGGCCUACCAAGGCGAUGAUCCAUAGCUGGUCUGAGAGGACGAUCAGCCACGCUGGAACUGAGACACGGUCCAGACUCCUACGGGAGGCAGCAGCUAAGAAUAUUGGGCAAUGGAGGAAACUCUGACCCAGCCAAUGCCGCGUGAAUGAAGAAGGCCUUCGGGUUGUAAAGUUCUUUUAGUCAUGAAGAUGAUGACAGUAGUGACAGAAAAAGCACCGGCUAACUUCGUGCCAGCAGCAGC